RNAcentral lists this long non-coding RNA (274 nucleotides) under Coccomyxa subellipsoidea. RNAcentral describes it as "long non-coding RNA (CSUB_LNC000311)". The record is from RNAcentral. Lineage: Eukaryota; Viridiplantae; Chlorophyta; Trebouxiophyceae; Coccomyxaceae.
CUGCAGUGGUUUUGCACUUCACACAUACAUCCUUUUGGCCCCGUCUCGUCGAUGCCUCUGAUUGCUUCUGAUUGCUGCAAGAAUUACCAGUACCAUUGCUGAUACAAGCUGGCUGCCUGGAUUCCUGGCAGCCGCUCUGAGAGCAGCCACUACCACAUCCUGGGUUAUUGUGUGUUGCGCAAGUGCUUUCCGUGUCUUCGCCCGCACCACAUCCUCCAGUAGCCAUCCUCAACUCUCUAUAUGCUCUGCGCGGAUCGAUCGGAUUCUAUCAAUG